UAGAAAAGGUCAGUGAGUUUGGCCCAGGAGACGCUGUCAGGGCAGGAACAGGGUUUGUUUGGCCUCACAGGACAUCCUAGCCAGGCAACAGCAGUAUCCAGCUUCUGGGAAUGACGCUUUCUGCUCGCUCCUGCCCUUCCCUGAGUGUGUUCGGGCAUGUUAGAAGCAUGACGUGAGCUACUGCCAGGGUAACCUGCAACACGCAAGAAGUGAUGUAACACGAGGAAGAAGAAACAUUGCCGUCAGACCGGAGUCCUGGGCACAGUUACUUAAGGCAUUGCUGGUCAUCGAACCAACGGGCCACUGGUCACCAUGGUAACGACAAUCAAAACACCAAUUCCCGCUUUCCUGGGCUGGUGUUGAAUGACGACUGUGCUACACAGAAGAGCAACUUAAUCCCUCAGCGCACAAUAAACAGAGCUGCCAGUUCCAGCCUUGCAGAUGAUGGAGAAGAAUAGCUUAAAUGACAGGGAAUCUUCACACAUGACAUGUCACCAACGUGACUGCCUAAACAAGACCUGAAAAAGGAUGACACCGACAGAGAUGCAAACGUGCAUGCGGGGAAAUCUUACAGAGCUCCACCUGUAAACAAAGAACUACAGAGAAGAAAAACAAGAUGAUAUCCAAAUGGAUUCCAGCCCUGGUAGCCUGAGCCAAGCAUGGAGGGAAGGAGGAACAUCAAGAAGAGGCUGGGAAGACGAUACCAUUCCCCACGGUCACAAAAGACCCUGCGUGACAUCCUGAGGCAUGUGAACUUUGGCCAGCGGGGAGCCCUGAGCAGGUCAGUGGGCCAACAGAGUGUCUGAAGGACCGAAGAGGAAAAGGUGCAUGAGAAUGGGGGAGGGGAGCCCAGGCACCUCGCUUUCUCAGUUGCCAAGCAGGAGGUAGAAAAACGGGUGGGAAUGUGUGAUGAGGUGCCCUUCACCACUCAGACCCCUCUCCUGCUGUCUCCUUUGGCCGGUUAUUGUCUUCUAAACUCAUUCCUAUCUUCAAAAAGCAGAGACAAAAACGACUCUUUUACUGUCAACUGAUGUUGGUGACUGGUCACUUCACACCGGAGAAGCCCAAGAAAACACGACAAAGGGUGGGACAACUACAACUAAUUCAUAAAGGGCAUGCCACAGUCCUCAGCCAGAUCAUGUCACUGGUCGACUGCCUAGUCUAGACAGAGUUCCCCUGGCCCUAUGACCUUUCCUGAGUUCCAGCAUCACAAACCCACUCCUCUGUAAUCAGCCACCAUCGAGCCAUCCCUGUCCUCAGUAUCAGCUCCGGCAAGUCAGGAAACUCCCACAAGGUUCCCAGUAGACCUUUGAAGAUAGAAAUGCCACAUCCAAGUCUCCGAUUUAUGAUAUGGCAUGAACUCCACACUUGUCUCCCACUCUUUAGUCCAGCACAAAUGAGCCGAAGUAGAUAUGUACAACUGGAACCGAGAGAACACCUCACUUAGGACAGUCCUCAGCACCCUUGCAGCCAGCGUGGGGCUUAGCCAAGAGCAGGACACUGAGAUGCUGGCCAUGCCCUGGCACCUUUUUCCUGCCCAAGCCUUCCAGGUGACGCAGCUGUCUUAGGGUUUCUAUUGCUGCAACAAAA
Molecule: non-coding RNA, 1590 nt
Organism: Peromyscus maniculatus bairdii (prairie deer mouse)
Lineage: Eukaryota; Metazoa; Chordata; Mammalia; Rodentia; Cricetidae
Source: RefSeq, a predicted model, not a curated record